UGAUCCUGGCUCAGGACGAACGCUGGCGGCGUGCCUAAUACAUGCAAGUCGAGCGGACAGAUGGGAGCUUGCUCCCUGAUGUUAGCGGCGGACGGGUGAGUAACACGUGGGUAACCUGCCUGUAAGACUGGGAUAACUCCGGGAAACCGGGGCUAAUACCGGAUGCUUGUUUGAACCGCAUGGUUCAAACAUAAAAGGUGGCUUCGGCUACCACUUACAGAUGGACCCGCGGCGCAUUAGCUAGUUGGUGAGGUAACGGCUCACCAAGGCAACGAUGCGUAGCCGACCUGAGAGGGUGAUCGGCCACACUGGGACUGAGACACGGCCCAGACUCCUACGGGAGGCAGCAGUAGGGAAUCUUCCGCAAUGGACGAAAGUCUGACGGAGCAACGCCGCGUGAGUGAUGAAGGUUUUCGGAUCGUAAAGCUCUGUUGUUAGGGAAGAACAAGUACCGUUCGAAUAGGGCGGUACCUUGACGG
Molecule: ribosomal RNA, 479 nt
Filed under: Bacillus subtilis
Lineage: Bacteria; Bacillati; Bacillota; Bacilli; Caryophanales; Bacillaceae
Description: bacterial SSU rRNA
Rfam family: Bacterial small subunit ribosomal RNA
Source: RNAcentral